CAUGCAGUCGAACGGUCUUUUCGGAGAUAGUGGCGGACGGGUGAGUAACGCGUAAGAAUCUACCUUCAGGUUGGGGACAACCACUGGAAACGGUGGCUAAUACCGAAUGUGCCGAGAGGUGAAAGGCUUGCUGCCUGAAGAAGAGCUUGCGUCUGAUUAGCUAGUUGGUGGGGUAAGAGCCUACCAAGGCGACGAUCAGUAGCUGGUCUGAGAGGAUGAUCAGCCACACUGGGACUGAGACACGGCCCAGACUCCUACGGGAGGCAGCAGUGGGGAAUUUUCCGCAAUGGGCGAAAGCCUGACGGAGCAAUACCGCGUGAGGGAGGAAGGCUCUUGGGUUGUAAACCUCUUUUCUCAGGGAAGAAGAAAGUGACGGUACCUGAGGAAUAAGCAUCGGCUAACUCCGUGCCAGCAGCCGCGGUAAUACGGAGGAUGCAAGCGUUAUCCGGAAUGAUUGGGCGUAAAGGGUCCGCAGGUGGCAUUGUAAGUCUGCUGUUAAAGAGUUUGGCUCAACCAAAUAAAAGCAGUGGAAACUACAAAGCUAGAGUGUGGUCGGGGCAGAGGGAAUUCCUGGUGUAGCGGUGAAAUGCGUAGAUAUCAGGAAGAACAUCGGUGGCGAAGGCGCUCUGCUAGGCCAAGACUGACACUGAGGGACGAAAGCUAGGGGAGCGAAUGGGAUUAGAUACCCCAGUAGUCCUAGCCGUAAACGAUGGAUACUAGGCGUAGCUCGUAUCGACCCGAGCUGUGCCGUAGCUAACGCGUUAAGUAUCCCGCCUGGGG
RNAcentral lists this ribosomal RNA (780 nucleotides) under uncultured cyanobacterium. Its description in RNAcentral is "bacterial SSU rRNA". It matches the Rfam family "Bacterial small subunit ribosomal RNA", at positions 54 to 878 of the family's 1533-position model. The record is from RNAcentral. Lineage: Bacteria; Bacillati; Cyanobacteriota.